This 875-nucleotide long non-coding RNA is filed under the name Homo sapiens (human). RNAcentral's name for it is "long non-coding RNA NONHSAT158441". Lineage: Eukaryota; Metazoa; Chordata; Mammalia; Primates; Hominidae. The record is from RNAcentral.
GCUGGAGAGACAGCCAACCUUUGUAGAAGUGCAAAGCACUUGACCCAGGGGCUGGGGUCAGCGGGACGUCUGGGAGGAAGUAAGCUAGCUUCAGCUAGCACCUGACAGUGGAGAGUGGAAGGCAAGCGCCGGUGAAAAGGAGCUGUUGUGAAGGUGGGAUGUAAAUGGCUUAGCCAGGGCCCAACACAUUGUGUGUGCUCCAUCGGUUCCCAGUGUUCAGAGGAAGGAAUUCCCCCAGAUGCCUGAGUUCAGGGCUGCUAUCACCCUGAAUGGCCACAAGGGGGAGCUCGUGCCCUGUAAUUGUGUGUUUCAGCGCCUGUGCCGUGUGCCGCAAGGUACCAGUUGUUUCCACUAAAGAUCGGUUACUUGCAUCUUACAAAGUUGUUAGGAAGCGUCUCCCGGACAUUUGCAGCCCCUGCUAAGCGUAGUGUGUUCCAGAGCCUAAGUGGCUCUGAUAGCCUUGUCCUAGUGUUUUCUCGUAAAGCCGAGGAUUCUUUCCUCUAAAUUCUCGGGAAUAGAGCCAAUUACCCAAGUAGCCACCGAUCAUGUCCUUUUAAUCCUUCCUGGUUCUUCCCAUUCCUUCUGGGCAUCCACAGGGCCCAUCCCCUAGAGCAGCACCAAUGGGGUUGGAGCACUGGCUACUGACACGUCUGGACCCUCCAGGCCAGAAAGGCUUCAUUUCUCUGCACUUGCUAACCCCCAGCCAAGCCCCUAGUCCUUUCCAAGAUGGGAUAAAGGGGCAUUCUCCCUCAAAUGUCUUUCCUGAGUUAGGAAUGUGCUCUUGUCAUUUUGAACCCCAUGAUCUCUGCCCCAGUGGCUUCCAGAAAGGAUCUGAUGGCCACGUGCUUUGGAGUGAGACAGACCUUUUGUCCCGU